Molecule: ribosomal RNA, 497 nt
Filed under: uncultured bacterium
Lineage: Bacteria
Description: partial 16S ribosomal RNA
Rfam family: Bacterial small subunit ribosomal RNA
Source: RNAcentral
GAUGAACGCUGGCGGCGUGCCUAAUACAUGCAAGUCGAGCGAACAGACGAGGAGCUUGCUCCUCUGACGUUAGCGGCGGACGGGUGAGUAACACGUGGAUAACCUACCUAUAAGACUGGGAUAACUUCGGGAAACCGGAGCUAAUACCGGAUAAUAUAUUGAACCGCAUGGUUCAAUAGUGAAAGACGGUUUUGCUGUCACUUAUAGAUGGAUCCGCGCCGCAUUAGCUAGUUGGUAAGGUAACGGCUUACCAAGGCAACGAUGCGUAGCCGACCUGAGAGGGUGAUCGGCCACACUGGAACUGAGACACGGCCCAGACUCCUACGGGAGGCAGCAGUAGGGAAUCUUCCGCAAUGGACGAAAGCUUGACGGAGCAACGCCGCGUGAGUGAUGAAGGUCUUCGGAUCGUAAAACUCUGUUAUUAGGGAAGAACAAAUGUGUAAGUAACUAUGCACGUCUUGACGGUACCUAAUCAGAAAGCCACGGCUAACUACGUG